RNAcentral lists this long non-coding RNA (483 nucleotides) under Gossypium barbadense (sea-island cotton). RNAcentral describes it as "long non-coding RNA (GBAR_LNC023074)". Lineage: Eukaryota; Viridiplantae; Streptophyta; Magnoliopsida; Malvales; Malvaceae. The record is from RNAcentral.
CUCCGCAUCGUUCUUACAUUACCUUGUUCUAUUUCCGUCUUAGUCUGAAAGAAGAAGAAGCUUCUAUGGACGAAUGUCAGCACAAAAUUGCCCCCUUUAUUUGAAAUUCAUCACUCUACCAAGUAAGUGCUUUUCCUUGCAUUUGAAUUUUGAGGAAAUAUUUGAAUCCACCAUUGAUAAUCUAAUGAUAUGUUCAAAGAGGCUUCUGGGUUUUUAAGGCAAUGAAUGAAACUUAUCUGACAUUCAAAUGUUAAAUUCUCUUGAAAUUAUGUUUUUUAAUUGAUUACAUGUUCAAAUGUUCAUAGUUUGUUUGCAAUAAAUGAUUUUUGGGACAAUUGAUUUUAGAUGGUUGGUUGGACUGCAAUAACUGAUAUGUUCGCUACGACUGCCGGAACAGAAGAGUUGCAUGCAUUUUAUCCCAUUAGACCGGAAUGCAUUGCCGAUGUUCCUAAGACCCGACUCCGGCUGAGGGCGUGUCCAGUU